UUCGGGAACUGUGAGACAGGUGCUGCAUGGCUGUCGUCAGCUCGUGUUGUGAAAUGUUGGGUUAAGUCCCGCAACGAGCGCAACCCUUAUCCUUUGUUGCCAGCGGUCCGGCCGGGAACUCAAAGGAGACUGCCAGUGAUAAACUGGAGGAAGGUGGGGAUGACGUCAAGUCAUCAUGGCCCUUACGACCAGGGCUACACACGUGCUACAAUGGCGCAUACAAAGAGAAGCGACCUCGCGAGAGCAAGCGGACCUCAUAAAGUGCGUCGUAGUCCGGAUUGGAGUCUGCAACUCGACUCCAUGAAGUCGGAAUCGCUAGUAAUCGUGGAUCAGAAUGCCACGGUGAAUACGUUCCCGGGCCUUGUACACACCGCCCGUCACACCAUGGGAGUGGGUUGCAAAAGAAGUAGGUAGCUUAACCUUCGGGAGGGCGCUUACCACUUUGUGAUUCAUGACUGGGGUGAAGUCGUAACAAGGUAACCGUAGGGGAACCUGCGGUUGGA
This 503-nucleotide ribosomal RNA is filed under the name Escherichia coli. RNAcentral describes it as "bacterial SSU rRNA". It matches the Rfam family "Bacterial small subunit ribosomal RNA", at positions 1019 to 1522 of the family's 1533-position model. RNAcentral also lists the same sequence under 2 other names. Lineage: Bacteria; Pseudomonadati; Pseudomonadota; Gammaproteobacteria; Enterobacterales; Enterobacteriaceae. The record is from RNAcentral.